GUCUUCGUGGUGUAGUGGUCAGCACGUUGGAUGCGUAACCCCGAGGUCCGUGGUUCGAUUCCCAGCGAAGGCG
Molecule: transfer RNA, 73 nt
Filed under: Stegodyphus mimosarum
Lineage: Eukaryota; Metazoa; Arthropoda; Arachnida; Araneae; Eresidae
Rfam family: tRNA
About the family: Transfer RNA (tRNA) molecules are approximately 80 nucleotides in length.
Source: Rfam by way of RNAcentral